CAGAAAAAAGGCGGACAUGCCCAGUGCAUAGGAAACCCUACUGUAAACGUUACCUCAGUCAGACGGGACUGGAGACGGGGCUGGGAAGUCCCUUACCGGGAAGAUUUGAGAGAUAUGAUUCACCCUCAUAUCGGAUGAGAUAUCGAUGUGAUGAAAUGUUUGGUGCCCAUUACCUGAUGGAGUAUGGGGACGGUUGGUUAAUUGUUAAAAUUGGUUAUUGGGUUCAUGAGUAGGGGGAAUAC
Molecule: long non-coding RNA, 242 nt
Filed under: Carica papaya (papaya)
Lineage: Eukaryota; Viridiplantae; Streptophyta; Magnoliopsida; Brassicales; Caricaceae
Description: long non-coding RNA (CPAP_LNC015578)
Source: RNAcentral